RNAcentral lists this transfer RNA (88 nucleotides) under Candidatus Equicola faecalis. RNAcentral describes it as "tRNA-Ser". It matches the Rfam family "tRNA". From Rfam's summary of the family: Transfer RNA (tRNA) molecules are approximately 80 nucleotides in length. Lineage: Bacteria; Pseudomonadati; Bacteroidota; Bacteroidia; Bacteroidales; Bacteroidaceae. The record is from RNAcentral.
GGAAGAAUGACCGAGUGGCUUAAGGAGCUCGCCUGGAAAGCGGGUGUACCUCAAAAGGGUACCGGGAGUUCGAAUCUCCCUUCUUCCG